GUGAGGAAUAUUGGUCAAUGGGCGAGAGCCUGAACCAGCCAAGUCGCGUGAAGGAAGAAGGAUCUAUGGUUCGUAAACUUCUUUUGCAGGGGAAUAAAGUGCAGGACGUGUCCUGUUUUGUAUGUACCCUGAGAAUAAGGAUCGGCUAACUCCGUGCCAGCAGCCGCGGUAAAACGGAGGACCCGAGCGUAUUCCGGUUUUUUUGGGUUUAAAGGGUGCGUAGGUGGUUUGAUAAGUCAGCGGUGAAAGUUUGCAGCUUAACUGUAAAAAUGCCGUUGAAACUGUCGGACUUGAGUGUAAAUGAGGUAGGCGGAAUGCGUGGUGUAGCGGUGAAAUGCAUAGAUAUCACGCAGAACUCCGAUUGCGAAGGCAGCUUACUAAGCUACAACUGACACUGAAGCACGAAAGCGUGGGGAUCAAACAGGAUUAGAUACCCCAGUAGUCC
Molecule: ribosomal RNA, 445 nt
Filed under: uncultured bacterium
Lineage: Bacteria
Description: partial 16S ribosomal RNA
Rfam family: Bacterial small subunit ribosomal RNA
Source: RNAcentral